AGUGAACGCUGGCGGUAGGCCUAACACAUGCAAGUCGAACGGCAGCACAGUAAGAGCUUGCUCUUACGGGUGGCGAGUGGCGGACGUGUGAGGAAUACAUCGGAAUCUACUUUUUCGUGGGGGAUAACGUAGGGAAACUUACGCUAAUACCGCAUACGACCUACGGGUGAAAGCAGUGGAUCUUCGGACCUUGCGCGAUUGAAUGAGCCGAUGUCGGAUUAGCUAGUUGGCGGGGUAAAGGCCCACCAAGGCGACGAUCCGUAGCUGGUCUGAGAGGAUGAUCAGCCACACUGGAACUGAGACACGGUCCAGACUCCUACGGGAGGCAGCAGUGGGGAAUAUUGGACAAUGGGCGCAAGCCUGAUCCAGCCAUACCGCGUGGGUGAAGAAGGCCUUCGGGUUGUAAAGCCCUUUUGUUGGGAAAGAAAAGCAGCAGGUUAAUACCCCGCUGUUCUGACGGUACCCAAAGAAUAAGCACCGGCUAACUUCGUG
Molecule: ribosomal RNA, 492 nt
Filed under: uncultured bacterium
Lineage: Bacteria
Description: partial 16S ribosomal RNA
Rfam family: Bacterial small subunit ribosomal RNA
Source: RNAcentral